This 422-nucleotide ribosomal RNA is filed under the name uncultured bacterium. Its description in RNAcentral is "bacterial SSU rRNA". It matches the Rfam family "Bacterial small subunit ribosomal RNA", at positions 355 to 774 of the family's 1533-position model. The record is from RNAcentral.
UUUCGAAUCAUUCACAAUGAGGGAAACCUUGAUGGUGCAACGCCGCGUGGGGGAUGAAGGCCUUCGGGUCGUAAACCCCUGUCACCAGGGACUAACCGUACGGUUCAUAGCCGUACCUGAAUUAACCUGGAGAGGAAGCAGUGGCUAACUCCGUGCCAGCAGCCGCGGUAAUACGGAGACUGCGAGCGUUACUCGGAUUUACUGGGCGUAAAGGGUCCGUAGGCGGCCAUGUGUGUCGGGUGUGAAAUCCCACAGCUUAACUGUGGAACUGCGCUCGAAACUACAUGGCUAGAGUAUUGGAGAGGUGAGUGGAAUUCCUGGUGUAGCGGUGAAAUGCGUAGAUAUCAGGAGGAACACCAACGGCGAAGGCAGCUCACUGGACAAUUACUGACGCUGAUGGACGAAAGCAUGGGGAGCGAAAG